Molecule: ribosomal RNA, 956 nt
Filed under: Acrogenospora carmichaeliana
Lineage: Eukaryota; Fungi; Ascomycota; Dothideomycetes; Minutisphaerales; Acrogenosporaceae
Description: SSU rRNA
Rfam family: Eukaryotic small subunit ribosomal RNA
Source: RNAcentral
UCAGUUAUCGUUUAUUUGAUAGUACCUUACUACUUGGAUAACCGUGGUAAUUCUAGAGCUAAUACAUGCUAAAAACCCCGACUCCGGGAGGGGUGUAUUUAUUAGAUAAAAAACCAACGCCCUUCGGGGCUCCUUGGUGAUUCAUAAUAACUAAACGAAUCGCAUGGCCUUGCGCCGGCGAUGGUUCAUUCAAAUUUCUGCCCUAUCAACUUUCGAUGGUAGGAUAGUGGCCUACCAUGGUAUCAACGGGUAACGGGGAAUUAGGGUUCUAUUCCGGAGAGGGAGCCUGAGAAACGGCUACCACAUCCAAGGAAGGCAGCAGGCGCGCAAAUUACCCAAUCCCGACACGGGGAGGUAGUGACAAUAAAUACUGAUACAGGGCUCUUACGGGUCUUGUAAUUGGAAUGAGUACAAUUUAAAUCCCUUAACGAGGAACAAUUGGAGGGCAAGUCUGGUGCCAGCAGCCGCGGUAAUUCCAGCUCCAAUAGCGUAUAUUAAAGUUGUUGCAGUUAAAAAGCUCGUAGUUGAACCUUGGGCCUGGCUGGCCGGUCCGCCUCACCGCGUGCACUGGUCCGGCCGGGCCUUUCCUUCUGGGGAUCCGCAUGUCCUUUACUGGGUGUGUCGGGGAACCAGGACUUUUACUUUGAAAAAAUUAGAGUGUUCAAAGCAGGCCUUUGCUCGAAUACAUUAGCAUGGAAUAAUAGAAUAGGACGUGCGGUUCUAUUUUGUUGGUUUCUAGGACCGCCGUAAUGAUUAAUAGGGAUAGUCGGGGGCAUCAGUAUUCAAUUGUCAGAGGUGAAAUUCUUGGAUUUAUUGAAGACUAACUACUGCGAAAGCAUUUGCCAAGGAUGUUUUCAUUAAUCAGUGAACGAAAGUUAGGGGAUCGAAGACGAUCAGAUACCGUCGUAGUCUUAACCAUAAACUAUGCCGACUAGGGAUCGGGCGAUGUUACUAUU